Molecule: ribosomal RNA, 506 nt
Filed under: uncultured bacterium
Lineage: Bacteria
Description: partial 16S ribosomal RNA
Rfam family: Bacterial small subunit ribosomal RNA
Source: RNAcentral
AGUGAACGCUGGCGGUAGGCCUAACACAUGCAAGUCGAACGGCAGCACAGGAGAGCUUGCUCUCUGGGUGGCGAGUGGCGGACGGGUGAGGAAUACAUCGGAAUCUACUCUGUCGUGGGGGAUAACGUAGGGAAACUUACGCUAAUACCGCAUACGACCUACGGGUGAAAGCAGGGGAUCUUCGGACCUUGCGCGAUUGAAUGAGCCGAUGUCGGAUUAGCGAGUUGGGGGGGUAAAGGCCAACCAAGGCGACGAUCCGUAGCUGGUCUGAGAGGAUGAUCAGCCACACUGGAACUGAGACACGGUCCAGACUCCUACGGGAGGCAGCAGUGGGGAAUAUUGGACAAUGGGCGCAAGCCUGAUCCAGCCAUACCGCGUGGGUGAAGAAGGCCUUCGGGUUGUAAAGCCCUUUUGUUGGGAAAGAAAUCCAGCUGGCUAAUACCCGGUUGGGAUGACGGUACCCAAAGAAUAAGCACCGGCUAACUUCGUGCCAGCCGCCGCCGUAA